Molecule: ribosomal RNA, 253 nt
Filed under: uncultured bacterium
Lineage: Bacteria
Description: partial 16S ribosomal RNA
Rfam family: Bacterial small subunit ribosomal RNA
Source: RNAcentral
UACGAAGGGGGCUAGCGUUGUUCGGAAUUACUGGGCGUAAAGCGCGCGCAGGCGGUUCUUCAAGUCAGUGGUGAAAUCCUGGAGCUCAACUCCAGAACUGCCUUUGAUACUGGAGAGCUUGAGUCCGGGAGAGGUGAGUGGAACUGCGAGUGUAGAGGUAAAAUUCGUAGAUAUUCGCAAGAACACCAGUGGCGAAGGCGGCUCACUGGCCCGGUACUGACGCUGAGGUGCGAAAGCGUGGGGAGCAAACAGG